This 497-nucleotide ribosomal RNA is filed under the name uncultured bacterium. Its description in RNAcentral is "partial 16S ribosomal RNA". It matches the Rfam family "Bacterial small subunit ribosomal RNA", at positions 28 to 507 of the family's 1533-position model. The record is from RNAcentral.
GAUGAACGCUGGCGGCGUGCCUAAUACAUGCAAGUCGAGCGAACGGACGAGAAGCUUGCUUCUCUGAUGUUAGCGGCGGACGGGUGAGUAACACGUGGAUAACCUACCUAUAAGACUGGUAUAACUUCGGGAAACCGUAGCUAAUACCGGAUAAUAUUUUGAACCGCAUGGUUCAAAAGUGAAAGACGGUCUUGCUGUCACUUAUAGAUGGAUCCGCGCUGCAUUAGCUAGUUGGUAAGGUAACGGCUUACCAAGGCAACGAUGCAUAGCCGACCUGAGAGGGUGAUCGGCGACACUGGAAGUGAGACACGGUCCAGACUCCUACGGGAGGCAGCAGUAGGGAAUCUUCCGCAAUGGGCGAAAGCCUGACGGAGCAACGCCGCGUGAGUGAUGGCGGUCUUCGGAGCGGAAAACUCUGUUAUUAGGGAAGAACAUAUGUGUAAGUAACUGUGCACAGCUUGACGGUACCUAAUCAGAAAGCCACGGCUAACUACGUG